GACGAACGCUGGCGGCGUGCUUAACACAUGCAAGUCGAACGGAAAGGCCCUGCUUUUGUGGGGUGCUCGAGUGGCGAACGGGUGAGUAACACGUGAGUAACCUGCCCUUGACUUUGGGAUAACUUCAGGAAACUGGGGCUAAUACCGGAUAGGAGCUCCUGCUGCAUGGUGGGGGUUGGAAAGUUUCGGCGGUUGGGGAUGGACUCGCGGCUUAUCAGCUUGUUGGUGGGGUAGUGGCUUACCAAGGCUUUGACGGGUAGCCGGCCUGAGAGGGUGACCGGCCACAUUGGGAAUGAGAUACGGCCGGGACUCCUCCGGGAGGCAGCAGGGGGGAAUAUUGAACAAGGGGCGGAAGCCUGAUGCAGCAACGCCGCGUGCGGGAUGACGGCCUUCGGGUUGUAAACCGCUUUCGCCUGUGACGAAGCGUGAGGGACGGUAAUGGGUAAAGAAGCACCGGCUAACUACGUG
This 468-nucleotide ribosomal RNA is filed under the name uncultured bacterium. RNAcentral's name for it is "partial 16S ribosomal RNA". It matches the Rfam family "Bacterial small subunit ribosomal RNA", at positions 28 to 507 of the family's 1533-position model. The record is from RNAcentral.